RNAcentral lists this transfer RNA (73 nucleotides) under Microconidiobolus nodosus. RNAcentral's name for it is "Conidiobolus nodosus tRNA-Met". It matches the Rfam family "tRNA". From Rfam's summary of the family: Transfer RNA (tRNA) molecules are approximately 80 nucleotides in length. Lineage: Eukaryota; Fungi; Entomophthoromycota; Entomophthoromycetes; Entomophthorales; Conidiobolaceae. The record is from RNAcentral.
UGCGAAAUAGUGUAAUUCGGUUGCACAUUAGGCUCAUGACCUUAUAGUAGUUGUUCGACUCAACUUUUCGCUA